GAAAAGAUUGGUGGCAUCUAUGCAAAACAAAAGUGAGUUUUGGCUUACGUAACACAAGCAAGCAAGAACCAAAGAAACAUUCUCUUUUUCUUUUCUUACUUCUUCACUUCACUUCAUUUCAUUUCAAACCAAAACCAAAUCUCGUAGGAACACUCAUGCACGCGUUACACUGAAAAAGACUCAUGAACCUUACCUUCAUCUCCAGGAGUUGGGAUCCAAGCUCCACACUCUUCCUUCUUCCAAAGAUGGCCUCAUUACGCUCCUAAAGGAGAAAACUGAGUGGAAAAAGGGUGUUCUUCUGUGCAUGAGAUUGGAGUGAAAGAAGUAGAGGGAGAAAUUAGCAGCUGCAACUGCUUACAUUUAUUCUAUUGUAUAAUUUUCUAAUGAACCCUGGAUUUAGUUGAACCACACAUUAUGGCAUUACUAGUGAAAGUGAGCAUGUCUGGAUGGAUUAAGGGUCCCUUUAAAUUUCAAUAUGCAUUCCAGGUUGAAAGGGUUGUUCACUUGAGUUGUAUUACGAGAUAAGUUGAGAAACACCGUUUUAUUCCAAAAAACAUAACUCAGAAGAUUUGGGAUUGGAACUGCUGAAUGUUUGGUCUGCUUUUUUGCAUUAUUCUUAUAAUCGAAUGGUUUUGAUGUAUACUAAUAGGUAGUCAAUUGUGCCGGUAUAAGAAAUAUCAAACAGUGAAUAAUAGAAAGUGAAGAAGAGAGAGAGAGAGAGAGAGAGAGAGAGAGAGAGAGAGAGUAAAAUCACUUCUCAAAUUUUAUAAACUGAGUUCUUGAAUUACAAAGAGAAACCUAAACCCUAUUUAUCAGAGAAGACUACAACAAGCUAACUAAGACAGUUAGCUGAAUUAGUUACUCUACUGUUACUAAUUACUAAUAUAACAAACUAAAAUACAUUUUAACAAACUAUCUAACAGUAUUGUCUAAUAGCCGGUAUAGCGGGUGAUCGCAUUCUGUUCUGGGGGUCGUUGCCACACUAUUGACAUGAGCAUUGUAUUUAUGUGUCGCGGGUGGUGUGGGCCGCUUUUGCAGCCACCAUAGAGGGUUUCAUAGCGAGAUUCAUCUGAGACAAUGACGACGGCGUGAAAGCGCAGCUCCUCGACCCACUAAUAAUCCCUAACCAUGCAACCCUAUCGGGUCCCAUGCAACCUCUUGUGAAAUACCCUUUCAUUGCAUUUAUGUGUCGCGGGUGGUGUGGGCUGCUUUUGCAGCCAUCAUAGAGGGUUUCAUAGCGAGAUUCGUCUGCGACAAUGACGACGGCGUGAAAGCGCAGCUCCUCGACCCAUUAAUAAUCCCUAACCAUGCAACCCUAUCGGGUCCCAUGCAACCUUGUGUGAAAUACCCUUUCAUUGCAUUUAUGUGUCGCGGGUGGUGUGGGCCACUUUUGCAGCCACCAUAGAGGGUUUCAUAGCGAGAUUCGUCUGCGACAAUGACGACGGCGUGAAAGCGCAGGUCCUCGACCCAUUAAUAAUCCCUAACCAUGCAACCCUAUCGGGUCCCAUGCAACCUUGUGUGAAAUACCCUUUCAUGUUUCUUUAUAUUAAAAUAUUAAAUUCACUUUAAGCAGUGUGUUUCAUAUUACUGUUAUUAAUGGGCUGUGUUGGUUCUAUGUUUUGCCUUUUACCGUGGCUUUUGUCGCAUAUGAUGCACUUUUAA
This is a non-coding RNA of Lupinus albus (white lupine), 1662 nucleotides long. Lineage: Eukaryota; Viridiplantae; Streptophyta; Magnoliopsida; Fabales; Fabaceae. The record is from the annotation of a GenBank genome assembly.